GCCUGGGUGGCUCAGUCGGUUGAGCGUCCAACUUCAGCUCAGGUCAUAAUCUCACAGUUCGUGGGUUCAAGCCCCGCCUCGGGCU
This 85-nucleotide transfer RNA is filed under the name Felis catus (domestic cat). It matches the Rfam family "tRNA". From Rfam's summary of the family: Transfer RNA (tRNA) molecules are approximately 80 nucleotides in length. The record is from Rfam by way of RNAcentral. Lineage: Eukaryota; Metazoa; Chordata; Mammalia; Carnivora; Felidae.